Molecule: long non-coding RNA, 357 nt
Filed under: Felis catus (domestic cat)
Lineage: Eukaryota; Metazoa; Chordata; Mammalia; Carnivora; Felidae
Description: lncRNA (ENSFCAG00000041516.2)
Source: RNAcentral
AGCCAGUGGGUGGUUUCUGGCUGAGGAGCUCGCCAGUGGAACUUGGAGACCCUAGGCCCUCUUUCUCCAAGUCUCACCUUUCACUGAAGCGCCCCAAGCAACCCACCUUCCUGCCUUCCCUCCUGGCAGCAGCUAGCCUACCCGUCUGAUGACUCCAGCUGGUGCUGAUUCAGGGUUUCCAGACAAAGAAAAGGCUUGGAGGACCUCAAUCUACUGUGCCAACAGGACAUGAAUGACCAUAUACUCCUCCUCCCUUCUUUCCAGAGGAGUUCAAAUGGGAGCUGCCAUUUUCGAACAGAUCUGCCCCCUGAACAGGUGGGGCCAAUUAUAGAACCUUACUCUGCUGUCUUUGAUUGA